CCUACGGGAGGCAGCAGUGGGGGAUAUUGCACAAUGGGGGGAACCCUGAUGCAGCGACGCCGCGUGGGUGAAGAAGCGCCUCGGCGCGUAAAGCCCUGUCAGCAGGGAAGUAAAUGACGGUACCUGAAGAAGAAGCUCCGGCUAAAUACGUGCCAGCAGCCGCGGGAAUACGUAGGGGGCAAGCGUUAUCCGGAUUUACUGGGUGUAAAGGGGGCGCAGACGGCGAUGCAAGCCAGGAGUGAAAGCCCGGGGCCCAACCCCGGGACUGCCCUUGGAACUGCGUGGCUGGAGUGCAGGAGGGGCAGGCGGAAUUCCUGGUGUAGCGGUGAAAUGCGUAGAUAUCAGGAGGAACACCGGUGGCGAAGGCAGCCUGCUGGACUGCAACUGACGUUGAGGCCCGAAAGCGUGGGGAGCAAACAGGAUUAGAUACCCCAGUAGUC
Molecule: ribosomal RNA, 440 nt
Filed under: uncultured bacterium
Lineage: Bacteria
Description: partial 16S ribosomal RNA
Rfam family: Bacterial small subunit ribosomal RNA
Source: RNAcentral